AUGUCGCCCUUGUGGAAGGCCGUCCUCUGCCUGACGCUGUUUGCCGCAUGGCGGUCGCAGGUCGAAUUCAGGACGAUGACUUCCCGGCGCCCGCGGCUUGACUGCGCGCAGCGUUGCCCUUGCAGCGGCCAGAGCUACCUCCACAGCUCUUACAGCCACGCUGGGACGCAAGCACGCGCCCCCUUGCUCGACGAGGUGCUUCCAGGUGGCCAUUCUGUGUCUGUGGGGGCAGCGAUAGGUGGCGAUGAAGGCGGGAAGGCGUCAUGCCUGCCUCUCGCCAGGGAGGUCGGCGUCCGGGCGGCAGCCGGCGGGGGAGGCAAUUUCAUCGUCUCGCCGCUGUCCAUCCACGCGGCGCUCGCGCUGGUGGCCGCCGGCACGCGGGGCGAGACGCGCGAGGAGCUCCUGGGGUUCCUUGGCUCGGCGUCGCUCGACGAGCUGCACGGCGCGUCGUCGACGGAUCUGGCUGGCAGGCUCAACGGCCUGGCGCAGACGUCGUUCGCGUGCGGCGUGUGGGUCGACCGCGCGCAGGCGCUGGAGCCGGAGUUCAUGGCCACCGCCGCGUCGAGGUACGCUGCCACCGCGGAAUCGGUGGAUUUCUCCUCGGACCCGGAGCAGGCGAGGCGGCGAGUGAACGGCUUCGUCGCCGGCGCGACGGACGGGCGCAUCCGCGACGUCCUCCCUCCCGGCUCGGUCGGCUCGUCCACGCGAGUCGUCCUCGCCAACGCGCUCUACUUCAACGGGACGUGGUCCCAGCCGUUCGACCAGUCGGCGACCUUCACCGCGCCGUUCCACGUCCCAGACGGCACCAUCGUGCGCGUGCCGUUCAUGACGACGGGCCGGUUCCCGUUCGAGCAGCACGUCGCCGUCUACCCGGGCUUCAGGGCCCUCAAGCUGCCCUACAAGAACGACGGCGACCACGCGGGGCGGCGAGCCGAGGCUGCAUUGUACAUGCUUCUCCUCCUCCCGGACGGCGCCGCUCUCGGCCUCGCCGAUCUCUACGACAAGGCGGUCGCGACGCCGGGGUUCAUCAAGAGCCACACGCCGGGGGUCCAGGUCCCGGUCGGGCGGUUCAUGGUGCCGAAGUUCAAGUUCACGUUCGAGUUCGAGGCGUCGUCGGACAUGCGGAGGCUCGGGGUCACCAGGGCUUUCGAAGGCGGCGACUUCUGGGGCAUGGUGAGCGGCGGGGAUGGGCUCUUCAUCGCGGGCGUGUACCAUAAGGCCACCAUCGAGGUGGACGAGCUGGGCACCGUGGCCGCCGCAGCAACGGCCGUGGCGAUCCAGGACAGUGCAAGGGCGCCACGGCCUCCGGUGGAUUUCGUGGCGGACCGGCCCUUCUUAUUCGCCAUUGUCGAGGAGAAAACCAGCGCAGUACUGUUCCUUGGCCAUGUGAUCAAUCCUCUCGCUGAAUGA
This 1410-nucleotide ribosomal RNA is filed under the name Triticum aestivum (bread wheat). Its description in RNAcentral is "partial small subunit ribosomal RNA". The record is from RNAcentral. Lineage: Eukaryota; Viridiplantae; Streptophyta; Magnoliopsida; Poales; Poaceae.